Molecule: non-coding RNA, 2720 nt
Organism: Oryza sativa Japonica Group (Japanese rice)
Lineage: Eukaryota; Viridiplantae; Streptophyta; Magnoliopsida; Poales; Poaceae
Source: RefSeq, a predicted model, not a curated record
ACGUUGGCCUUUCAAAAUUUACCACCAGGCACGCGAAAUUCUUUAUUUGGAGCCACUCCGUCCGCCUGCCCCGCCGUCCAUCCGCGCGACUGUCUCCGAGCUAGGUGGCGUCGUCGCCCAGGCACGGUCAUCGUCACCUCGCAUCCCGCCCCCGCCGCCGUCCCCAUCCCCAAGCUCGUUCGGCACCGUCGCCACCGCCGUUCCCAACCUCCAUCGCCACCAUUCCCAUCCCCAAGCUCGUUCAGCGCUGUUGCUAUGCUCGCGCCCUAUCGCCGCCGUCCCUGAGCUCGUCUGCCACUGUCGUCGAGCUCGCAUUCCGUUCCGCCGUUGCCGCCAUGCCUGAGCUCGCGUCCGGUCGCCGCCGUAGUCACCCCCAAGCUCGCGUUCUGUUGCCGCCGUCGUCGCCCCAGAGCUCACGUUCCGCUGUCGCCGCCGUCGCCCCCGAGCUUUCCGCUGUUGCCGCCAUGCCCAAGCUCUCAUCCGAUCAUUGUCGCCGUCGCCCCUGAGUUCGUGUUCUGCUGUUGAACCGCCAUGUCCGCAAACUCCGUCCCCGUCUACCAUCUAGACGUCGACAAAACCAUGUGCUCUUUCGUCCCUGUCGAAGGUGCAAUGUCUCUCGCUGGCAACCGCGACGGGAGUGAGCUCAGGGAUGAUGGUCAAGCCUUGAGACGACGGCCGACGAGCUCGGAGACGAAGACAAAGACGGACGACGCGGACAAGCAGACGGAAUGGCACGAAAUGAAGAAUUUCGCGUGUCUGGUGGUAGAUCUUGAAAGGCCAACGUAUUGGGUGGCAAUUCUUUAAAGGUUAUCGUAUUGGAUGGUUAAUACUGAAAUUUCUCGGGAAUAUGGGGAUCGGAGAAGCCGCAACUCGCAGCCAAAGCCUUGCCGGCGACGGCGAUGCAGGAGAUGCAAGCGCCGCCGCCGCCGCCGAUUCUUCUUUUGGCGCCUCAGUAUGGUUUCCACUAUCAACCGACUCUUGAAGAAUUUUGGCAAAGUGCAUUAGUCUCGGUGCUGGUUGACUCUGAAGUCAGGAAAUUGUUUUUCGGAGCAAUCAGCGAAGAAAAUUUGGAGUAGUAUUUUUCUUAACUCUAAUGCCUAAUCAGUAAGAGAAUAUAAAUUGCGACAACAGAGUAUCAACUAUAACUAAAUAAGCCACUAAAUUGAACUAUUGCUUUUUUUUAAAAAAAAAUAAACAGUUGGGAUGUAUUAGUAAAUUUCAAAGUGUGCAGCCUUCUGAACUGAAAAUAUUAGAGAGCUGAUUUCAGGUAAAGAACCAAACCUGAUGUACUUUAUCAUUCAUUUAUAAAUUACAAUAAUGAAUUAAGCAGCGUAUCUGCUUAGAUAAGCUAAUUGUAUGUCCAACGGAUAAGAUGCAGCAAAGAAGGAUGAAUCCUUUUCUCCUUUCCAACAAAAGGGGCAUUUUCGUGAAGGCAAAGCAAACGCAGAUAUUCUAGAACGCAUGAUAGAAGUGGCCAAGAACUCGAAAUGUGCAAGAAUGUACGCAAUAGCUUAAUCUAAUAUAGCAUCUCAAAAGCCUCAAAUCAUUGCUGCAAAUGACAUCACCUUCUGCAUGUAAGCAUUGGAUUUCAAUUGAAUAUUUGUUGGCUCUCUGUUAACCUCAUGUGACAAGGUUAGCAUUAACCCUUUUCUUUUGCAAGAAUGAAGGUUAACAACAGCAUUACCUCCAUUAAACAUUCUAAUAUACAAUGCCGGCCAACAGAAACCAUCCCAUGCAUAUUUAACAAUUCAUAGUGUUUCUGUUCUUCAGUUGUGGUUGUUAACUUGUUAUUGUUGUUUCAGUGGCGUUCGCAAAAAAAAAUUGUUGUUUCAGUGAUGUCCAUGUAUUGGAACUGCAGCUGCAUAAAGAAGAGAGAAGACACUGUCGUUCUACAGGGAGCAUCACACAACGAUGGCAACUUGGCUAUAUCAGUAGCUGACUAAUAAACUACUCAGCUCUAAUGGCUUCAUCAGCCCACUGCUUUGGAUGAAACUAGCUGCAUGCGCACCAUGGCACUAACUUGGCUUGGAGAGAGAGAUAAACAUUUCAGUGCGUCUGAUUCAUGGCCGAAUCAGCUCAUCAGAGGUGCAGCGGAGGUCGUUGUGGAAUGUAUGAUGAUGUGCCACGCACGGCAGGAGGAUCGGAUUGCUGGGAAGAUACGCCCAUGUCCAUAUUCAUCUCCUUUUGCUUUUGUCAGGCGCCGCGUCUCGCCGGCUGGCCGCCGCGGCCAAAAAAAGGAGAGCAUAUGCUCAUCACUGGAUCAAACUAUGUCUAAUGACUCCACAAAGUGGCAGUGAGUCAGAGCUAGGCAGCUCCCUAGUUCUUGUUGUUCAAGUGAAGAUAAUCUUGGUUUUGAAUACCUGUUUGGAAGUCAGUUUUGAGGAUAAACUUGGAAGAUUGGAGUCUUUUACCAUCGACUCACACAAAUUUUAAAUUGCAUCAUCCAUUUGUACCCUUUUUCAAUUGGAAGAUGGUAACAAAAAGAUCAGGGGUCAAGUUUGUAUUAUCUAUUUGUACCUUUUUUUCCAAUUCAAGUUUUUACAAUGUAUUUGGGCUGUCUCCCUCUAUCAGAUCCUCAAGUGUGGAAAGUAUAUAUAUUAACAAGCAGUCCAUCUUAUAUAGAGUACUGGAUUAUGGAAUUUUUUUAAAGCAAUUAUCUCAUUUUCAGACAAUGAAUAUAUGAAUAUAUUUCUGGGGCCAAACUGGUCUUUUACCCAACA